GUUAAUGUAGCUUAUCCUAUAAAGCAAGGCACUGAAAAUGCCUAGAUGAGUAAUUCUUACUCCAUAAACA
This 70-nucleotide transfer RNA is filed under the name Tympanoctomys barrerae (plains viscacha rat). RNAcentral's name for it is "tRNA-Phe". It matches the Rfam family "tRNA". Rfam says of the family: Transfer RNA (tRNA) molecules are approximately 80 nucleotides in length. Their secondary structure includes four short double-helical elements and three loops (D, anti-codon, and T loops). The record is from RNAcentral. Lineage: Eukaryota; Metazoa; Chordata; Mammalia; Rodentia; Octodontidae.